Long non-coding RNA from Gallus gallus (chicken), 1349 nucleotides. The record is from Ensembl. NCBI's taxonomy places the organism in Eukaryota, Metazoa, Chordata, Aves, Galliformes, Phasianidae.
GAAUGAAGAGGAAAAGUGCGGUUUCCCCUAGUAUUCCCUGCUGAUGUGAUGUACUGUGAGGAGCACCCAAAGAAGGGACUUCAGCAUGUUCAGACCUCCUCACUGCCCUCCAGAGGUACUCUCAGGGAAGUCAGAGGUUUGGACUUGCUUUACAGUUGAACAUAUAUGCUUCUAUGUGACAGCCUUUGGGAGAGCCUGAUUCCUAGAAAACAUAAACUAGGCCUCUAGUCAGUGAUAGUGACUCAUCAACAGCAGGCUCUGCCUUCAAGGAUGUCUCAGACUCCCUGGUGUCUGGCAGGCCAGCACACAAAUGCCGCAAACACCUUUAGUUGGACCUUUUUGUAAACAUUAUGGUUGGGUUUAUUCCCUUCUACUGAAAAACUGGUCCAGAACCCAAUCCCUCCACUGGUUAAAAAUCUUCCAAUUUCCAGCUAAAUGUGUUUAAGACCAGUGUGCACAAGGAAUCAAGUAAUACAAGAGAAGAGGCAUUUUGCAAGGUGUAUGUCCAGGCUCUUCGUUACAAUGUUGAAAGCAAAUGCUGGCAAAGAAGAAAAUGCAAAUGGCAGAUCUGCUCAGGGAUGACUACCAACCUCCAGCCCCCAGACACCCAGCAGCCUUUCCAACUGCCAGCUCUGGGAAUCUCGAGCUCCCAGCGAUACUCUGCCUUCCAAACAGCUCCCCACUUUCCAUUUCUACUCCUGUGCCAGGUGUAGUACCAGCUUCAGGAGCUGAUGACCUGAUUUUCAUCCCAUCACUCUCCCUGGACGUCCCUUGAGCAUCAGCAUUUUUUAAGUGAUACCUAAGAUGAUACAGCUUGAAGGUGAGGAGCACCAGAUCCAAGAGGUUCAGCAUACAGGAGGGAAGGAGCAUGAGAAGUCAGGGCAGAAUGCAAAGGCUGUUUUCUGUCUUCCUGAAAGAGAACGAGGAAAUAGGUCUGGAAAACGGAACUGGAGAGAGAAGAGGAGGGGAGUGAGAACUGAAUGAUUUAUUUGCACAUACACAUGAGAGAACGAGAGGCAAAGUUUCAAACUGAUAAUUGGUUUGGGAUUUUUAUUGAUUAUAAAUUACAAUUCCAAGCUGUAGUUAAAAACCUGAGCCUGAACCAUACCUGCUAUACAGAGUUGCUAACACAUCUCUAUAAAAUGUUGUGCAAGACAGCAGCUAGACAUAAAUUCUGCAAUGCUUGUGAUUUCCAGCAUGUUACUUUCUAUAAUGACCCUCCAUUCGUAUUAAAUAUGGUAGCAGACAUAGAUGUGAAAUGCUGCUUGGAAGCAUCUUUUCCAGCACUUUGUUUCCUGUGACCCAUUUCCCACACCUUCCCCUUGGUUCUUGAAUAAAAUAAGUGGAAG